RNAcentral lists this ribosomal RNA (460 nucleotides) under uncultured bacterium. RNAcentral describes it as "bacterial SSU rRNA". It matches the Rfam family "Bacterial small subunit ribosomal RNA", at positions 15 to 518 of the family's 1533-position model. The record is from RNAcentral.
GAUUCUGGCUCAGAACGAACGCUGGCGGCAGGCCUCAAACAUGCAAGUCUAGGGGGCGUAGCAAUACGUCACCGGCGGACGGGUGCGUAACACGUGGGAAUAUACCUUUUGGUUCGGAACAACGCAGGGAAACUUGCGCUAAUACCGAAUGUGUCCUUACGGAGAAAGAUUUAUCGCCAAAGGAUUAGCCCGCGUUCGAUUAGCUAGUUGGUGAGGUAAUGGCUCACCAAGGCAACGAUCGAUAGCUGUUCUGAGAGGAAGAUCAGCCACACUGGGACUGAGACACGGCCCAGACUCCUACGGGAGGCAGCAGUUGGGAAUCUUGGACAAUGGGGGAAACCCUGAUCCCAGCCAUGCCGCGUGAGUGAUGAAGGCCUUCGGGUUGUAAAGCUCUUUUACCCGGGAAGAUAAUGACUGUACCGGGAGAAUAAGCUCCGGCUAACUUCGUGCCAGCCGCUGC